This is a small nuclear RNA of Otolemur garnettii (small-eared galago), 164 nucleotides long. Its record names the gene U1. It matches the Rfam family "U1 spliceosomal RNA". Rfam says of the family: U1 is a small nuclear RNA (snRNA) component of the spliceosome (involved in pre-mRNA splicing). Its 5' end forms complementary base pairs with the 5' splice junction, thus defining the 5' donor site of an intron. The record is from Ensembl. Lineage: Eukaryota; Metazoa; Chordata; Mammalia; Primates; Galagidae.
AUACUUACCUGGGAGGGGAGAUACCAUGAUCAUGAAGGUGGUUUUCCCAGGGCGAGGCUUAUCCAUUGCACUCCGGAUGUGCUGACCCCUGCGAUUUCCCCAAAUGUGGGAAACUCGACUGCAUAAUUUGUGGUAGUGGGGGACUGCGUUCGCGCUUUCCCCUG